RNAcentral lists this ribosomal RNA (449 nucleotides) under uncultured bacterium. RNAcentral's name for it is "partial 16S ribosomal RNA". It matches the Rfam family "Bacterial small subunit ribosomal RNA", at positions 29 to 523 of the family's 1533-position model. The record is from RNAcentral.
AAUGAACGCUGGCGGCAUGCCUAACACACGCAAGUCGAACGACGGCUUCGGCCUGAGUGGCGCACGGGUGCGUAACGCGUGGGAAUCUGCCCUCAGGUUCGGAAUAACAGCGAGAAAUUGCUGCUAAUACCGGAUGAUACCGCGAGAUCAAAGAUUUAUCGCCUGAGGAUGAGCCCGCGAGGGAUUAGCUAGUUGGUGUGGGAACUGCGCACCAAGGCGACGAUCCUUAGCUGGUCUGAGAGGAUGAUCAGCAACACUGGGACGGAGACACGGCCCAGACUCCUGCGGGAGGCAGCAGUGGGGAAUAUUGGACGAUGGGCGAAAGCCUGAUCCAGCAAUGCCGCGUGAGUGAUGAAGGCCUUAGGGUUGUAAAGCUCUUUUACCCGGGAUGAUAAUGACAGUACCGGGAGAAUAAGCUCCGGCUAACUCCGUGCCAGCAGCCGCGGUAA